Monodelphis domestica (gray short-tailed opossum) is the source of this 342-nucleotide long non-coding RNA. RefSeq lists it as uncharacterized. The record is from RefSeq and is a predicted model, not a curated record. Lineage: Eukaryota; Metazoa; Chordata; Mammalia; Didelphimorphia; Didelphidae.
GCGUGUGCGCGCGCCUGGCCUGCCAGCCUCAUGGGCGACUCCGACUGAAGGCAAGACUAGGAGAACGGAACAGAGGGAGCCCUGACUGACAGCCACUCUGGAGGCUGAGGGAUGGCUUCCGUUUCUAGAGUGUUUUCUACUUGACAGAUCCUUUUCUUCCCAAGAGCCCUCUAUCGGGAGGGAGGGAGGGCAAUCACGAUAAUGCCUAAUUCUCAGCCCAUCUUUCCUUGGUAUCCUCCAGCACCACUAGAUGGACAGCUACAAUGAUUAGGCAAACAUCUUCCUGACUUUCUGCGGUGCUCUGUCCAUCAUUGCCUAUGGAAUACAGAACCAGUUUUUCUA